Molecule: ribosomal RNA, 450 nt
Filed under: uncultured bacterium
Lineage: Bacteria
Description: bacterial SSU rRNA
Rfam family: Bacterial small subunit ribosomal RNA
Source: RNAcentral
AGAGUUUGAUCCUGGCUCAGAACGAACGCUGGCGGCGCGCCUAAUACAUGCAAGUCGAGCGAGAAGGUGUAGCAAUACACUUGUAAAGCGGCGAACGGGUGAGGAAUGCAUGGGUAACCUACCCUCGAGUGGGGAAUAACUAGCCGAAAGGUUAGCUAAUACCGCAUACGUUUCCGGAACUUAGGUUUCGGAAAGAAAGCAAUACCGUGGGUAUUGCGCUCAUGGAUGGGCUCAUGUCCUAUCAGCUUGUUGGUGAGGUAACGGCUCACCAAGGCUUCGACGGGUAGCUGGUCUGAGAGGACGAUCAGCCACACUGGCACUGCGACACGGGCCAGACUCCUACGGGAGGCAGCAGUAAGGAAUAUUGCGCAAUGGACGAAAGUCUGACGCAGCGACGCCGCGUGGGGGAUGAAGGUCUGUCGGAUUGUAAACCCCUUUCGGGAGGGAAGA